RNAcentral lists this ribosomal RNA (467 nucleotides) under uncultured bacterium. RNAcentral's name for it is "bacterial SSU rRNA". It matches the Rfam family "Bacterial small subunit ribosomal RNA", at positions 355 to 825 of the family's 1533-position model. The record is from RNAcentral.
UAGGGAAUAUUGGACAAUGGGUGCAAGCCUGAUCCAGCCAUGCCGCGUGCAGGAAGAAGGCCUUCUGGGUUGUAAACUGCUUUUUGCCAGGGGAUAAAAUUUCUUUGCGAAGAAAAUUGAAGGUACCUGGUGAAUAAGCCACGGCUAACUACGUGCCAGCAGCCGCGGUAAUACGUAGGUGGCAAGCGUUGUCCGGAUUUACUGGGCGUAAAGGGCGCGUAGGCGGUGUGUCAAGUCAGUUGUGAAAUCUCCGAGCUUAACUCGGAACGGUCAACUGAUACUGUCACACUAGAGUACAGAAGGGGCAAUCGGAAUUCUUGGUGUAGCGGUGAAAUGCGUAGAUAUCAAGAGGAACACCUGAGGCGAAGGCGGGUUGCUGGGCUGAUACUGACGCUGAGGCGCGAAAGCUAGGGUAGCAAACGGGAUUAGAUACCCCCGUAGUCCCUGAGCGGGCUGGCAAGGCGCAU